GCAAUUGGGGUAUUUCUUCAAACAUGUUGAUGGGGAGCAGUUGGCCCCUCGGCUGGGUUAAUCUUUCUCGGGACAAGGCUGAGGUGAGCUUUGGGUGUCAGGUUGUUGUUUUGGUGUUUUAAGUAGUUGUAGCUUCUGUUGCUCCGACAACCGUUCUAUCUUUUGAGCUUUUGAUCAUUGUGUGUGUUAUCACUGUCUGAAGCACUAACGGUGGACUCCCUCCGCUUCUGGGUGUACCUUGACUAUGAACUCUUCUCUUAUAGAUGAGCAAGUGCUUCUGAUAAGUUUAUCCUGGAUGUACUUGAGUUUAUUUUCAAGAAUUUCAGUUCGGAGGCUUUCUGUUGUCCCGUAACAACGUCCACCAUGUAUGUUGUAAGAUAUAUAUUAUGUCACAUUCAACUUUGACGUCUACCCCAACUUGUUUGGGACUAAAGGCUUUGUUGUUGUUGUUGUUGUUGUUGCAACUUUGACGUCUACUUCGCACAACUUCAGCAUUAUCGUUCAUACAGUCAACUUUAGCAUUAUUGUUGUUGUUGUUGUUGUUGUUGUUGUUGUUGUUGUUGUUGUUGUUGCAACUUUGACAUUUCCCUGCUAUAUGAUGUGUGUGUGGUUCCUUAUGGUCAGUCACUUACUAGCUAAGGAGUUUGUUUUGGCAUCAUCUUGCUGCUCAAUUAGCUUGCUUUUUGCUCUGAGUCAUUGCUGUCCAGGGAGUAUUCUUGUCAUGUGCUUCAACUCUAUACUCUGCCUGUUUGAUUAGGCUUAGGCAACGCAACCUACCGAUUCCUUCUCGUUUGCCAAGUGCUACAACCUGAGAGAAUUUGCCUGAUUUGCUGCUGAUCUAAAUCUACUUACAUGCUUGACUGAAUUUUGAUGGGUGCUACUACUGUCAGACCCUAGUGCUGAAUCAUAUGGACAUUGCAUUGUUUGUCAGUUAAUUUGCUUGCUUGCUGCUGCAAAACUUCAGUAGAAUUUAGUUUGCCAAUUGGUGUAGUUGGAUUUCUGAAGUUUACUGAACACGUUAGAAAAUAGAUGGCUGUUGGAGCAGUUGCUUUAAUUUGUACUAUAUGCUUCCCAUUAUUAGUAUGGCUUUUCAGUUCUCAAAUUGGCCAUAGUCUAAACUGGUUUGCAGAAAUGAGGCCGGCGGAACAAACAUUGGCUGCGCGCGAGGUUGUCGUCAUGGCUGGCAAUUGGGGUCUUUCGGCAAACAAGUCCAUGGGGGCAGUUGGUGCCUUGGCCGGAUUAAGCUUUCUGUGGAUGGCGCUGAGGUGAGCUUUGAGUAUGAGGUUGGCGUUUUAGAGUUUCAAGUAGUUGUAGCUUCUGUUGCUCCGACAAUCGGUCUAUCUUUUCAGCCUUUGGUCAUUGUGCGUUCGGUAUCCGAUGUGCUAAUGGUGGAUCUCUCACUUGCUGGGAGUAGCUUGACUAUGGACCCCUGUAGAUAUUCAAGUGCUUCUCAUAAGUUUCUCCUGAGUGCACAUGACUUCAUUUUCAUGAAUUCCAAUUUGAAGGCUUUCUGUUGUCCUGUAACAACGUCCACCAUGUAUGUUGUGAGAUAUAUAUCUGAUCACAUUUGACAUUGAUGUCUACUUCGCACAACUUUAGCAUGGUUCUACAUAUAGUCAACGAUGAGAUUCCUCUUUUAUGAUUUAUGAUUGCACAUCCUAG
Molecule: long non-coding RNA, 1662 nt
Filed under: Triticum aestivum (bread wheat)
Lineage: Eukaryota; Viridiplantae; Streptophyta; Magnoliopsida; Poales; Poaceae
Description: long non-coding RNA (TAES_LNC002422)
Source: RNAcentral